Long non-coding RNA from Pezoporus flaviventris, 3151 nucleotides. RefSeq lists it as uncharacterized. The record is from RefSeq and is a predicted model, not a curated record. The transcript has 2 exons. Lineage: Eukaryota; Metazoa; Chordata; Aves; Psittaciformes; Psittacidae.
UGGUGGUGUUCCAGUGUCAAGGGGUUUUCUGUGACAAAUUACUGAUGGGAUGAGGCUAAGUAUUAUCUCAGAAGAUCAGUAGGGCAAGAAGAACCCUCAUUUAACUCAUUUAUAUUAUACUGAAGUCAUGAUAGAUGCUGUCAUAGGAAAGGGAGCCUUCUGGAACACGUUUAAAUUAAAGAUUUUGUUACUUCAGUUACUAACAAGGCAUAAUACAAACAAAAUAAUGGUUCUAAUAUAAGUCUGAAAUACAAUAAUGGGUUUGGAGAAUGUGAAACUAGUUGUGUGUCACAGAAAGCUAUGAGAUCUCUUAGUUUCUGUAUCUGUCUGUAUUUCAGGUUCUGCAUUAGCGCCACUCUGAGUUGUCAGUGCUUUCAUGAGCUCAUGAGAUAUUUAAAAGACAGUCCAAUCACAGGAUACCAAAGUAUUCAGCAGCAAAUACAGCUGAGUACAAUAUACUUUCAGGCAAGUCACAGAAUUUAAUACUUGAUGCCAAGGUAUAUCAAUAAGUUGCAUAACACAGUGUUUUAAACCAUCUAACUACCAAUGUUUAGCCACCUAACUGCACAGUUUAUCAUUUUAAAGUUAACCAUAGCAUUGCAUAUGGAUCUGGUAUCAUUAUCUUAACACAAAAUUGCCCAGUAUCACUUAAGUUACAGUAAUUUCCAAUUCAGCAUUUCAGGAGGCUAGGUAAAUCACUAAUUCCAAAGGAAGAGGCUUCACAAAUAGUUUUGGUAGGUACUUCUCUAUUUCCGUGAGAGGCUUCCCAAAGCUGUGCAAGAGAAUGAUCUUUUGUGCUUUGUAUGUUGGAUCUGUGUGCUGCCUGGAGCUCCAAGAUGCAUCCAGCUGCAGCUGCUUCACAGGGAAAAUGGAUUGAGUGUCAGAGACUUUUUUUUAGGCUGCUUGUAAUUGUCUGGAACCCAGAGCCUUAUUAUUUUGCUGUGCAGUCCCCUUACGGCAACUCAGAUAUCUGUAAUUGUAGUGGGGUUUGUGGGGGAAAGGGGUGGGGAAACAAAAAAGUAAAAUGAAGGUAAUCCCAUAGAAAAUGGGACUUGAAUGGUUUAAUUAAGCUAGCAGUUACAAAGACUACAUGUAACCUGACUGACAUCAGUGAUGUCUGCCUGUGAUGGACACACUGGUUUCUAACACUCUUAUGGAGUAAGAGUCCAAUUGUAUGUGCAGGUGUCAUUCUGAGGAGAAGCUGAAAAAGAGAAUUCUCUUAAAUUGCAGCUAAACAGUCCUGAAUUCUUGAGUUCCAUCACUGGGUUGGCUUUCUCCAUGAACAGCAUAGGUAGCUCUCAAAUCUCUCAUUACCAAUCACUAGAGCUGAUCAAAAGGUCUCAAAUGAAUUCUUAUAUUUAGUUUUAAAUCACCCCAUCCCCCACUGUGAUACUGGUAAGUAAAGGGGUUUGCUGCUUUUCCACAAUGAAACCAUGCUUUCAGAGACUUGCUAUGCAAACAGUGAGUUCAAGCCACAUUUUCUAGUCAUUUCACUGCAAAUCUCUGGAUAAAUGCGCUUUAAUGCUCCUUUUCUAUUGCUCCUUCCUCUCUUGCCUUGCAGAAGCUGUUUUCAGUCUUGCUAAAUGAAAACUUAAGUGUACUAACUCGGCAAGUAAAGAGUUAAUGUGCCCUGGGUUUCUUGCUAGUGAAUUACUGAGGCCCCCUGGUGCCUUAUUUAUUAGAUGAGCUGGGAGCAGCGUGAAACAUUGCAGUAACUAAGUUUUCCGUUUGUCCUUGCGUUUAGUUAUAGGGGUAAAAGCAGAAUAAAGGCGAAGGAGAAAACGCGCUUCCAGUACACAUUCGUGUCUGGAUCCCCUAUUUCUUUACUGCUGUCAUAGCCUUUCUUUCUCUUGCAGUUUGCCUCAUAACAGUAUGGUUCUACAGUAGCUCUCAAAUGAGAGGUGAAAGACCACAUACCAAGCUCCACAGCACACAGGAAGGAUUUAGUUUGUUUUCAGACUGUUGUUUAUAAUCUCUUUUUCUUGCUCAGUUGGACAGUGGUAUUAGUGUUUGCUCUCUGGACUCCCCUUUUCAUUUCUCUUUUCUGUUCCCUCCACCCUCCCUCCAACUUUUAGAGAGGAUAUUUUGCAUUACUUCAACUCUGGCUCACAUUUCUUUGGUUGCAGUUAGGUGCUCUGUAGUUCAUUGCUUCUGUUUAUGCAAGAAUCCACAUCAAAGACUUUAUCAUUCCCCGUUUAAAGGACUAUACAGAGAUCAAAAGUAUGACUUAAAAAGCCAAAUCCCCCUGGAAAAUAGCUUUCCCAAAAUGUCAGCAAAAGCUGUAAGAGUGAGCAUUCAGCAGUUCAGAAGGCUGUAUUUUGAUUAAUGCAGGUGUGGUUACAGCUCAUGUAACUGGACACCAUCUAGUGGCACAAGAUCAGAAAUAAUCUGAUUGCAAUCGUGUUGAUCUGUUCUCCGGGGUUUAUCCAAAAGCUUAUGGUGGGCAAUAUAUUGAGUCUUCUUGCUUAAGAUCUUUCUGUGAUCACAGACCAAAAACUUACUUGUAGUAGUGAUUCAUAAACUCAGGAAAUUAAAAGUCAGCUUCUUGUCAAAUCAUCUAUUACCAGUUUGCAAACAGCACCAGUGUAUUUAUAAUUUGAAGUUAUUUUCCAACCAGUAUGAUCAGUCAGUUUAGGAGUAGUCUGAUGUGUAGAAUUCAGUAAUGCAUUUGAAACUUGUUGAUUCCUAGACAUGCAUGGGUUUUUCUUUGGUUGCAAGUUGGUUGGUUGGGUUUUUUUUUCUGCUCUGAUUUAAAAGCAUGAAUUACUUGAGUGCAGUGCUGAAGAACAACUUUGCAAGUAAAGUACUGCUUAGUAUUCGCAACAUGGGUUUUCCCUAAUAUUUGCGUCAAACUUCACACAUUCAACUGGAGAAUGCAGUGUAAAAAAUGUGAAAGACAAUUCAGUGUUUGGUUUGGAUGUUGUUUCCACAAACAGACAUGUUAAGGCUUUUGUGUUUUGCCUUUUUUUUGUUGUUGUUUUUUGUAAAUAAGGUGUUACUUUUUUUCCUGAGUUCUGCUUGCUUUUGUGCUGCAAACAGGAUGUUGAGUAAUUUUGUGUUGGCAAGCACAGCAUGAUGGAUGAGUUGUGAAGGCUCUCAGCUGAUAGUACAGAUUCUUUUCUUAGCAGAAUAAAGCCAACUUGAAAAAUAA